Molecule: long non-coding RNA, 1504 nt
Filed under: Macaca mulatta (Rhesus monkey)
Lineage: Eukaryota; Metazoa; Chordata; Mammalia; Primates; Cercopithecidae
Description: lncRNA (ENSMMUG00000063654.1)
Source: RNAcentral
CUCCAAAGCAGACCCUGCCCACCAUCUGGCCCUGGCAUAGUGACUGAAGAGGAGACGGAAGACACAGGUGCACGUCGUGGUUCCCCACAGAUUCACGAGGGGCCUCAGUCUCCCCUCCAGGCCUCAGUCCCCAGGAAUAGACUUGCUGGUGUCUAUGGUUCUUUCCCGAUUGCUGCAGCCCAGGUGGUUUCUGACUCCCCCAAGCAGUCUAUUGCUUGGCUGUGCCCCAGAGCCUGGGCGUGGUCAGGAUUCCUCCUGGUGCAAAGCUCACCGCGGAGAGACUGCGUCCUGCCGCCUGCAGGGCCAGCUCCGCUCCCGAGGCUUUCUGCUUUCCAGGAGCACCAGGCAGUGCCAUCUCCACACAGCCCUGGAGACUCUGUGCCGGGUGUGUGUUCCCGGAUGUUUCAUCUGGCUGAGGCUGGGGAGGGUCCUGCGGCCUCUGCCCAGGGCCAUGAGCCUGCAGUGAAGCCUCCAUCACUACCGUGAGGGGCUGACAGAGCCCUGUGCCCUGAGGUGUAGCUGCCUUAAUGGGGGCUGUGGAUGGAAGGCGAAGAGAGCUGCUCCUCCCCCGGCGAACCCUGCCGCAGCUCCAGAGCUUCCUCUCGAAGGAAAGGCUAGUUCCGGGCUCCCCUGGCCACACCGGCACACAGGACUCCCGGACUCCACCCUGGCUUCCUCUCCCGGGGUGCUGGCUCCCGCAGCUUCUCUGCUCACCCCUACACCAGGGACCCAAUGCCCAGGCCAGGGCAGAGCUGCUGCUCCUCCCUCUCCUCCCCAGGAGGAAACCCCGCCGUGACAGCACCAGCUGGUCUGGGAUCCCAAAGUGAGAGUGGACUCAGCAGAUGAGUGGAGGAUGGACGUGCCAGUCGACGCUCAGAAACGUGCAGGAGGAAUAAAUGAGCAUGGGCAGUUUCCUGGGGGCAGGACCACCCGGGCACAGCCAGAUCUCAGCAGUUGUGGAGCUCAGUGGCCUCAGAUGAAGCCUCAGGAGGAAAGACCCACAGCCUUCGGUCCCCAGGGGGAUGUGGCCAAGCACCAGGGACCCAGGGACAGAGGCAGAGAGAUGAAACCAACAAUAAUGAGACAGAAGCCUGGCCUCCUGCACGAAGCCAAAACUGAAAUGCAAAUUGGAAACCAUGAAAGAAAUCUCCAUCCUGAGCCAGAGGCUCCAAGAAUCCCUGGUCGGAGCACGCAAGAUCCCUGGGCAGGUUGGGCAGGGCCAGUGACAGACGUGGAGAGAGGCUGCCUGCUCACGGCAGGCUGUGUGGAGGCACCCACCACCAUGCUGGGUGCUCCUGGGGCCAACGCCAGCAGCCAGGGCACACCACCUGCCCCCCACCCGAGAGCCUCCCCAGCUCCAGCCCUCCCAGCCAGUCUUCCUUCCCAGGCUCUCCCAGAUGGGCCACUUCCUGGACCAUACCCACAGACCCCAUCUGGCCUGCAGGCCUCACUCCAAUACACCCACCCCUGCGGCUGGACCACAGGCUACAUCAGCCCACUCAGC